Molecule: long non-coding RNA, 909 nt
Organism: Clupea harengus (Atlantic herring)
Lineage: Eukaryota; Metazoa; Chordata; Actinopteri; Clupeiformes; Clupeidae
Source: Ensembl
ACUCAUUUAUCGGUUAGAAAGACAGCAUGAAAAGUUCGCGUGUGUGCUUCUCGACAACUCCUUUUUGUUAGUUAUUUGCAGGCAUUCCCCGUACUGUGAAAUCAUACGAAGGGAGUUUCAGAGUGAUGAUCCAAAUGUUUGCGGUCUACAGCGCAACGCUGAAAGUUACGAUCCUGCUGUUGGUGAUCUACUCUACAAGCUGGAGUCAGUCACGGCAUCAAAGGAAUGAAGACAUCAAAGAGAUGUUGCUGCUUCUGCUACAGAGGACUCAUGCCUGGCAGGACAGGUGCAGAUGGACCAAGUUCCCUUGACCCCCACUAUUCUUGUGUGUGACUGUGGUUUCAAACCGCCAGAUUGAUAACAACAAGGAGAUGUUCACGGCUAUGCAAAUGAAAUUGGAUCGAAUUGAAGACCUGCUACAAAAAGUUCUUACAAAAAUGGGAUAAAAGGUCUCAAGAGUAGAGGCGCAAAUUGAAUGCAGCUACUUGCAAGACCAAACAAUCCCAAUCUUUUCUGCUUUCGGCUCCCUCAACCGGAACGGGCCUUGGCCAAGCCCGUUGCUGGAAAAACAACUCCCCUGAAGAUUGCUGCAGUGAGACUCUCUCUCAUUCCCUUCCCCCUUUCCACAGACACCUGUGGAUUGUUGUCUCUGUCCAGGACCCUUUCAAGGCUGUCUCCAUGGCAACGACAAUCUUGCGAACUGAGAAUCUGUCUGAUUGUGGCCUGGGGGAAGGAACAACCCAGGCCUACUCAUACAUGAACUUUGACAUACAUACAUGAACUUUGCAUACAUAUACACGUACAUACUACACACAGAUAUGCAUCCACUCCCCCACCCCCCAUCCCACGCCUUCGCCUCGUCUGCUUCGUACCCCCCAGUAUGACAAGACAGGGUCUGUGACUGGCGCC